This 491-nucleotide ribosomal RNA is filed under the name uncultured bacterium. RNAcentral describes it as "partial 16S ribosomal RNA". It matches the Rfam family "Bacterial small subunit ribosomal RNA", at positions 29 to 506 of the family's 1533-position model. The record is from RNAcentral.
AGUGAACGCUGGCGGUAGGCCUAACACAUGCAAGUCGAACGGCAGCACAGUAAGAGCUUGCUCUUACGGGUGGCGAGUGGCGGACGGGUGAGGAAUACAUCGGAAUCUACUUUUUCGUGGGGGAUAACGUAGGGAAACUUACGCUAAUACCGCAUACGACCUACGGGUGAAAGCAGGGGAUCUUCGGACCUUGCGCGAUUGAAUGAGCCGAUGUCGGAUUAGCUAGUUGGCGGGGUAAAGGCCCACCAAGGCGACGAUCCGUAGCUGGUCUGAGAGGAUGAGCAGCCACACUGGAACUGAGACACGGUCCAGACUCCUACGGGAGGCAGCAGUGGGGAAUAUUGGACAAUGGGCGCAAGCCUGAUCCAGCCAUACCGCGUGGGUGAAGAAGGCCUUCGGGUUGUAAAGCCCUUUUGUUGGGAAAGAAAAGCAGCAGGUUAAGACCCCGCUGUUCUGACGGGACCCAAAGAAUAAGCACCGGCUAACUUCGU